This is a long non-coding RNA of Triticum aestivum (bread wheat), 472 nucleotides long. RefSeq lists it as uncharacterized. The transcript is spliced from 5 exons. The record is from RefSeq and is a predicted model, not a curated record. NCBI's taxonomy places the organism in Eukaryota, Viridiplantae, Streptophyta, Magnoliopsida, Poales, Poaceae.
AGUCAUCCUAGUCCACCAUGCGUUCCCUUAUUCAACUGGAUGACCGCAGAGACGGGGGAAGGCGGGGUGGUGUUGUGCUGGUGGCCACCGGGAGCUUCAACCUUCCCACCUACAUGCACAGGCAUGUUUGAGCUUGCGAAGGAUGAGUUGCAGCAGCGAGGGUAGUCGGUGCUGGGAUGUUACUGCCUUAAUGGAUACAUGUCCCUGGUGAACCGAUGCUAACAAGAAGAAGGCAAUGCAGAAAGGUCAUCAGCGUACCUUGACCAUUCUCUCAAGAGUUAAGAAUUCUUCUGUGCAAGGACGGCUUAGCUGAUCAAGGAAGUGUCAAGGUAAUGCUGCUAUGUGGUUCUGACCUGCUCGAGUCAUUCAGCAAGCCAGGGGUUUGGAUUCCAGAUCAGUCAAAGGAAGAAGUCGAACCUAAAGAAGUCCUCGGAAGAAUCACAGCUGCGUGUGCCCGGCUGGUUCAGGGGAC